AAUGAACGUUGGCGGCGUGGAUUAGGCAUGCAAGUCGUGCGACAAGUCUCUUUUAGCUUGCUAUUAGAGAUGGAGGAGCGGCGAAAGGGUGAGUAACGCGUGGAUACCUGCCUCUAGGCCCGGGAUAGCGUCGGGAAACUGGCGGUAAUACCGGAUAAUAUCUCCGGAUCAAAGGUGUGAUUCCGUCUAGAGAUGGGUCCGCGUCCUAUUAGCUUGUUGGUGGGGUAAUGGCCUACCAAGGCAAAGAUGGGUAUCGGGUGUGAGAGCAUGGCCCGACACACUGGGACUGAGACACUGCCCAGACACCUACGGGUGGCUGCAGUCGAGAAUCUUCCGCAAUGGGCGCAAGCCUGACGGAGCGACGCCGCGUGCGGGAUGAAGGCCUUCGGGUUGUAAACCGCUGUCAGUGGGGAGCAAAUCUCUGGGAGCAAUCUUUCAGAGUUGAGCGAUCCGCAGAGGAAGCGUAGGCUAAGUUCGUGCCAGCCGCCGCAGUAAAAC
Molecule: ribosomal RNA, 498 nt
Filed under: uncultured bacterium
Lineage: Bacteria
Description: bacterial SSU rRNA
Rfam family: Bacterial small subunit ribosomal RNA
Source: RNAcentral